UACGGAGGGUGCAAGCAUUAAUCGGAUUUAUUGGGCGUAUAGGGCGCGUAGGCGGUGAUGUAAGUCAGAUGUGAAAUCCCGGGGCUCAACCCCGGAACAGCAUAUGAAACUGUCGAUCUAGUGGAAUGGCGGAGAAAAUGGAAUUCCAUGUGUAGCGGUGAAAUGCGUAGAUAUAUGGAAGAACACCGGUGGUGAAGACGGUUUUCUGGGCCAAUCCUGACGCUGAGGCGCGAAAGCUAGGGGAGCAAACAGG
This 253-nucleotide ribosomal RNA is filed under the name uncultured bacterium. RNAcentral describes it as "partial 16S ribosomal RNA". It matches the Rfam family "Bacterial small subunit ribosomal RNA", at positions 524 to 776 of the family's 1533-position model. The record is from RNAcentral.